ACGUUCGCACGCCCUGGCUGCUAGGAGACGCUAUUCCGUUUACCCGGCCCUGAUGCGCGCCAGUCAACCAGGCGAAGGCCAGGGGACCUCGAGACCGGCAGCCCGGACGAUGAACCGGAAGGAGGAAAAGGAACGGGAGGGAGAAAGAUCUCCCGCAAUGACUUCAUAACCAAGUUCUGGGUCCCUGCCUCUGGAGUGCCUGAUGAGACAAAACGGCUCCUCGUCCUGCAUCCCCGCUGCUACUUCCAGAAUUCAGGCCUCGUGGUCUGGAGCCUGCACUGUUCCAUGAGCCUCCUGACCAACCUGGAGGCCUCUGUCUUUCUUCCCUCAGUGAGAUGUGCCUACUUCUCCCUGGAGACGCUCGAGGAAGCAGGAAUGCUGGAGAUGAGAGGCCUCGUCUGCUCAGGGGCUUGUUCUUCUGUCUCUUUCAGAGGCCUCGUCUGCUCAGGGGCUUGUUCUUCUGUCUCUUUGCAGGGCUGUUUUGGACUCAGUAUUCACCUAAGCACUCCAAAUUGUAAGUAACCCCGGAGGUCAUGGGGUGUCCCACCGCCCCUCCAUUUGGAGGCAGUGACCCCUCUCCCACAGAGGAGGUGCUCGAAUGUGUCCAGUGCCCUGCCCAUUAGGUUAGAGAGGGUUCCCUUUUU
RNAcentral lists this non-coding RNA (644 nucleotides) under Pongo abelii (Sumatran orangutan). Lineage: Eukaryota; Metazoa; Chordata; Mammalia; Primates; Hominidae. The record is from RNAcentral.